RNAcentral lists this transfer RNA (76 nucleotides) under Nitrospinaceae bacterium. RNAcentral's name for it is "tRNA-Met". It matches the Rfam family "tRNA". Rfam says of the family: Transfer RNA (tRNA) molecules are approximately 80 nucleotides in length. Lineage: Bacteria; Pseudomonadati; Nitrospinota; Nitrospinia; Nitrospinales; Nitrospinaceae. The record is from RNAcentral.
UGCGGGGUGGAGCAGCUGGUAGCUCGUUGGGCUCAUAACCCAAAGGUCGCAAGUUCGAAUCUUGCCCCCGCUACCA